UUUGCUCGGACAGUUUGGGCAGCGAUCUUCGUUGCAUUAGGGACACCGAGUUGGAUUCCUACUGCCCAAAACUCGCUGGUGGAGUGGUCCGUCGACAAGCGUGGAUCGAACAACGUCAGCACGAAGGAUCUUCGCACCAUCUUCGCGCUCACCUGGUGGGAGUUGUGGAAGCAUAGAAAUGCCAUUGUCUUCGAGGGCGCGCAUCCUUUGGUUGAGUAGUUACUGAGAAAGGUGUGUUCUGAGGGUUCCAUUUGGUCCUCCGCUGGGUUAUUACGAGGGAAUGUAAUGCCCUUCUUCGCUAGGGUAGAGAGGUGGGUGAGUGAUGAGGAUUAG
Molecule: ribosomal RNA, 333 nt
Filed under: Triticum aestivum (bread wheat)
Lineage: Eukaryota; Viridiplantae; Streptophyta; Magnoliopsida; Poales; Poaceae
Description: partial small subunit ribosomal RNA
Source: RNAcentral